UGUUAUUAGCGAUAGGGAUACACCCGAUCCCAUUCCGAACUCGGAAGUUAAGCCUAUCAGCGCCGAUGAUACCUGGGUUUUUCCCUGGGAAAGUAGGUCAAUGCCG
Molecule: ribosomal RNA, 106 nt
Filed under: marine eukaryotic metagenome
Source: RNAcentral